This 296-nucleotide long non-coding RNA is filed under the name Marmota monax (woodchuck). The record is from RNAcentral. Lineage: Eukaryota; Metazoa; Chordata; Mammalia; Rodentia; Sciuridae.
AGGCAGGGGCUGGGUGGGGAUUGGCUGGAGAGUCUGUAAUUCAGCGGUUUCCGGAGCUGCGGCGGUGUAGACGGGGAGGGGGAGCUUGGGGGUUCCGACGUCGCAGCGGAGGGAAGGAGCCCCAACCGGAUCCUUGACGAGCACCCCAGCUCGGCUUUGCCCCUCUGCGUCGCCUAGGAGAGGCCCGGCGGCCCGAGGGAGCCCGGCCACCCGCACCCGACGCAAGCUCAGCCCCGGCCUGUCGGGCCUCACAGCUGGAGAAACAGGUGAAGGGGGCGAAGGGUGGGGCCGCGUCC